Molecule: non-coding RNA, 99 nt
Organism: Mycena metata
Lineage: Eukaryota; Fungi; Basidiomycota; Agaricomycetes; Agaricales; Mycenaceae
Source: the annotation of a GenBank genome assembly
GGCAGUAUGGUGUAUGGCCGCACACUGGAUUUCCUUGAGUAGGAACAAAAUAAAUGUGUAUUCAAUCCAGAGGACCUUGUUCGACUCAAGGUACUGCCC